RNAcentral lists this ribosomal RNA (222 nucleotides) under uncultured bacterium. Its description in RNAcentral is "partial 16S ribosomal RNA". It matches the Rfam family "Bacterial small subunit ribosomal RNA", at positions 99 to 334 of the family's 1533-position model. The record is from RNAcentral.
CGGACGGGUGAGUACCACGUGGGUUAUCUACCAUCGGGUGAGGAAUACCGGCGAGAAAUCGCCGACAAGACCGCAUAGGUUUGGAAACAAACAAAGUCGCAAGACUCCUGAUGAUGGGCCUGCGCCCGAUUAGCUGGUUGGUGGGGUAAUGGCCUACCAAGGCUGCGAUCGGUAGCUGGUCUGAGAGGAUGAUCAGCCACACUGGGAUUGAGAACGGCCCAG